Small nuclear RNA from Arvicanthis niloticus (Nile rat), 64 nucleotides. RefSeq annotates it as U7 small nuclear RNA. The record is from RefSeq and is a predicted model, not a curated record. NCBI's taxonomy places the organism in Eukaryota, Metazoa, Chordata, Mammalia, Rodentia, Muridae.
AGCUAUUUCAGCUCUUUCAGAAUUUUUGUCUAGCAGGUUUUCAGACUUUGGUUAGAAAACACAA